CCUACGGGAGGCAGCAGUGGGGAAUUUUCCGCAAUGGGCGAAAGCCUGACGGAGCAAUACCGCGUGAGGGAGGAAGGCUCUUGGGUCGUAAACCUCUUUUCUCAGGGAAGAAGAAAGUGACGGUACCUGAGGAAUAAGCAUCGGCUAACUCCGUGCCAGCAGCCGCGGUAAUACGGAGGAUGCAAGCGUUAUCCGGAAUGAUUGGGCGUAAAGGGUCCGCAGGUGGCUGUGUAAGUCUGCUGUUAAAGAGUCAUGCUUAACAUGAUAAGAGCAGUGGAAGCUACAUAGCUAGAGUACGUUCGGGGCAGAGGGAAUUCCUGGUGUAGCGGUGAAAUGCGUAGAUAUCAGGAAGAACACCGGUGGCGAAAGCGCUCUGCUAGGCCGUAACUGACACUGAGGGACGAAAGCUAGGGGAGCGAAUGGGAUUAGAUACCCCAGUAGUCCUAGCCGUAAACGAUGGAUACUAGGCGUGGCUCGUAUCGACCCGAGCCGUGCCGUAGCUAACGCGUUAAGUAUCCCGCCUGGGGAGUACGCACGCAAGUGUGAAACUCAAAGGAAUUGACGG
This 565-nucleotide ribosomal RNA is filed under the name uncultured bacterium. Its description in RNAcentral is "bacterial SSU rRNA". It matches the Rfam family "Bacterial small subunit ribosomal RNA", at positions 338 to 916 of the family's 1533-position model. The record is from RNAcentral.